AAUAGUGAUGGUGUAGACCAAGAGGCGGAAGAAAAUGUUAAAAUACUCCUCACUGAUGAGCUUCUUCAUGUAUGAUUAUUGAAACCAGCGCUUUAUUCUCCCACUCUGACAGAGUUAUCAUACCAGUCAGUUACCUGCUCUUAGCUGAUACCUUUAUUUAUAUACAGGUAGUAAAAAUGAAUUGGUUACUAUACCUAAUGUUAUCUCAAUCUAUACAUUCAGUUACCUCUUUUUUCAGCAGUUUUUUUUUUGCUUGUGUUUUCAAACCUCAGCGUGCGUGUAGGACACUGGUCACAGUCAAGACAGGAGAUCAGCAUAGUCAAGCACAUUAUCAUACUGACAGGAAGAGCUCUGUGGGUUUUAAAACACCCCUAGUGUGUAUGUGUGUCUGUGUGUGACGAGAAAGGGAGUGUAAAGGGUAGGAAAACGAUCUAAGUGCGAAAAAAAAAGUUGAAGAGAUGGGUGGAGACUCAGCACUGCAAAACCGUUAAACAGACAAAAUGCCAUUGCUACGUUUAGAGCAAUUCAAAGGUGAGUAUGACUUAACUAAAGAGCUACAUGCAACAAGUGCCGUUUCAUCAUUUCACUCAGGGAUGGUUACGUAAUGAGUCAAGAAGAGUUGCUGAGGGUAAAUGCUGGAAUUUUUUCCCUUUGCAUAAAUCAGCAAUAAUCUAAAAAGGAUGCAAAACAAAUCUGGGAAUUUUUUUUUUGCUUUUUUUUCAGUAGGAACAAAACUGAUUUAAGUCAUAACAGAAAUAUUUUGUCCACUUAAAAUAUGAUACAGUGUAAGUCAAACACUGAUACUAUAUUCAGGUAAAUAUUUGAUGUUAACACAAAUGCAAUUGCUACUUUAUAAUUAUUGUAUUAUUCAUUUGGUCAAUUAGAUUUGAAUCUUCAAAUGAAUAUUUUAAUAAAGUAACAGUACUGGAGGACACCCGAAAAAUGUUUAAUAUAUUCAGGAUCAUGCAGGUAAAACUAAUCCGAUAUCAAUUUCCCGAUAGAAAGCUUCACCUCAUCAUAAACAAUAUUAAUUCUCUUCUUUAGCUUACAGAAAGGAUAAUUCUUCUCUUUCUCUCUUUCUGCAAAUAAUAUUAAAAUAAUAAAAAUAUUAGGUUUAUCCUCAUUUAUAUAUAUUAUAAUUGUAUAAAUAUGAUUAUAAAAAUAAAAUAAAACAUUAAUAUAACCUAAAAUAGACAUGCAUUCAGACAGUACAGAAAUAUUUCUUUUGGAAAGUUAGUAUGAAUAACUUAAAUAAAUAAAAAAUUGCACUGGAUAAUCGCAUUUGUAGCAAUUAAACAAUGUGAAAAUAAUGAUUUCUAAUUAGGAAAGCUGAACUUCUAAACACUGUUUAGCUUUUCCAGUAACUGUUUGUCAGAUGGGAUAUCCAUUGACUGGCCUGCCUUGCAUCAGUGGGGAUUUCAUCACAUUUGAGGGCGUAGGAUAGAGAGAUUGCUAUCUGUCAAAGAUGAUAUGCAGGAACUGCUUUCUGAGGCUUUCACAGAAAUAAAAGAAGCUCACUUUAGAAGCCUCUUUUACACUGGCCACACUUCACUACACUGCCAUUGAGAGCUCUCGUUUUAUUCACUUCGUCAUUUCAUCUCUCUCUUUCUCUGCUCAUAUUUUUUAAUGUGCCACUUUAACGUGUACUAUAUGAUUUCUUCAUUAAAAGUGACCGAAACAGUAUAUGUUGUCGUCUGUGGAGAUAUCCGAGAUGCGCAAAAGUUACAAACACACACUUGUGAAACUGUUAUUUUCAGAGCGCAGAUGUGAAAACCAUUCUUUUUCUUUAAAAAUAGAAUAAACUUAUAUAAAUGCAGCAACAGACGGCAGGCUACUGAAAUAUAAAGCCGCUAAUAUUUUUUAACUAGGCUAUCUUUCCUAAAAAUGAAGGCCUACAUUAUAGUUUUGAUAGCUAAUUAUGUUUUUAAUAAGUAAUUAUUCAAAUCUUAGCUAAAUAAACUUUUUUGUCUGUAAAAUUUGCGUUUAUUCGUUUCUCAGUUAGAAAGUUUGAUGAAUCAUUUCUCUCAGAUAAAUGUGAGAAGUGUGUUUUUGUCUGUCGCACACGGUGUAUUUUUACACAAUCGCUCAAUACAGUUUCUCGUGUGUUGCACAUAUGACCUGCGCCGUGAGCACUAACAAGUGAACAUGGAACCAAACAAGGGCACAAAAGAGAAGCUCGAGACACACAUGCACCAUCGGAGAAAAAACUGACCGAAAAGAAUUCGUGUAGCCAUAUCUCAGGAGCUGCUGGUGCUGAGUCAUGUUCAGAAGGAGGCCACUCUUAUCUCCUGUCUCCAGGAGGACAUUUCAGGCAGUUGGGUGUGGGGUGAAACGGGAACCCUGGAUGAUGUGGGCUAGUUUUUUUCAGGACAGCCGGUUUUUUGUGUAAUUUAGUGACCCUCUGGAGAGCCAGACAGUUUUCUUCUUCUAAUAUUCUUCUAAUAAACUGGCUGUGACAUUACAGUGGGACAGUGUAACCACCAGAGAAGCAUUAGGGAAUGCUUUUGGUGUAGAGUGACUCAGCAAACUGUGUUCUAGCUCCAGUCAUUAGAACAGAGAGGAGACUGCACAAGCUGGUAGGCUAUGACUGAGAACAUGUGUAGCCUGACAUUUUGGGGAGAAAUUACUAUGAAUGCGUUCUUUUCAGUUUAUAAAUCAGACUGUUAUCUGUUAAACAUUAAUUAAAGAAAUUAAUGUUUUCCAUAAACAAUUAUAAAUGAACAAUUCAAGGAAAAUUUAUUUUUUAUUCAUAUUUUACUCUAAAAAGUAUUACACAUUUCUAUAAGAAUUCUAAAUUCUAAUAUUCUGUAUUCAUAUUUUGUAGAAAGUUUAUUUUUAAAGGCAAGUUCUAAUUGGUUAAUGAGUAGAAACAAUUGGUUAGUGCAGAAAAAAAUUCCACAAAGAAAACUCAGCAGUAAAUUUCACAAUUACAAAUGGCAAGUAAAAAAUAAAUAGAAUAACAUUUUGAAGUAGAUAAAUCAACAUAUUUUUAUAAUGCAAUAUUCUAUAGAAUAAACUAUAUUUAUAAUUCUAUAUAUAUAAUUUAUAAUUUUAGUGCACUUCCCUGAGGUUAUUUAAAUGAUAAAUUUAGAAAUUUAAAAAGAAAUAUAAUUUAUCCAUCUGUUCUUCAAACCACUUUACCUAGGAUUACAGGAUGCUCAGAAUAAAAUAUAGCUUUGAUAAAAUGUUUUGCAUGGAAGCUAAAGUUAUAUUCUGAAGGCGGAAAAACAUAACAGCAGUAAAAUAUAUAAUAAGUUCUAGCUAUACUUUAUGUCAGAAAUACAAUUGUAUUAGCAAUUAUAAUUACUAAUACAAAAUAAUAGUGAAUAAUGUACAUUUCAACAUAUACACAUUUUAAUAUUUAACGUUCUGUAAAUUACCAUUAGUGAUGUAUUAUUAACAAAUAUCAUUUAACAAUGUACAAUAAUAUAUUUAUAAAUGAUCAUUAACCUAGAUUAAUAAACGCUGUAAAACAAUGCAGUAAGCUGUUAUUUCAUGAUUAUGACUAAUAUUUCUAUGCAGUUUAGAUUUGAUAGGCUGAACAUUCGAAACAAGAGCUAAUAAACAAAUUAUCUUAAGUUAUCCGGUAGCAAAGUACUAGAACAGAGACGUCCUCUUAUUGCUUAUUUCAUGGAUCUUUAAGCAGCUUUCACACCCUCUAAUUUAUAACUUUAACUACAUGUAAUCCAUAAUUGGUUUAACUAUCUAAAUAAGUCGGAGAUGUUUGAGAUUGGUAAUCAAGUUAAUAGUCUGCUUUAUUUAAAUUCUUAAUCAGGGGUUGAAAAAAUCUCACUUUCUUUGGGAAUGCAUUAUGCAGGGGGAUGUCAGAGUAAAUUAAAUUCCCCUUUGCACACUAAAGCAUCAAUUUCCUUAUGGUAAUUAUCUGAGGGAAUGGAUGUGUCACUGGAGGGAGUCAGGCAUGCUUGACAUUUAGCCUCUUUAUGUGGAAAUGACACACAAAAAAAAUUAAUCUCUCGGCCGAGUGAGUAUGGCGAAGACCCUAAAGGACUCUCGCUGAAUCAGUUAUUAUGUUUGUGACCCCAUCUCGAAAAUUGAGCCAAUGAUACGAUGUAGACAAGAAAAAGACUAAGCUUAAGGAGCUGAGAAAAGUGGAGAAAAGUAUAGUUAAAAAUGAUCAUGCCUCUAAAUUUUGGAGAAGCUUUUAUUCUGAAUAGUGGAGUUAGCUUGGCUGAAAUAGACGUGCUAAAACUUAGACUGGACAGAGGCUGAAUGUCAUAGGAGGUCAAAGGAGACUCUGUUAAUUGUGAUUUUCUGAUCUCUCUUCAGAAGAGCUAUUUUAGGUUUCUGAAUCUAUUUAUUAGAAAAUGUAAACAUAGCCUAAAUGGAAAAAUUGUCUCUUGCAAAACUGCAUUGAACACUGGAUAGCAGUAAAUCACCAACAAUGUGUAUUCCUUUUUAAGCUAAUUAUUGUUUCAAGGGAAGACUAUUGAUUAAUAAAUACUUAUUUUGGCAUGGUUCCUUGCACAAUUCUGUGAUUUUAAAAUACGUUCACCAUGAACUUUUUAAGAUCACAUAACCAGCUCCAUAUGCAUGGCUUUUCUGAUGUAGUAAAGCGUUGGUCUUGUGGUUCAGAAUGCUUAUAUAUGAGUCACAACACUUUAUAAAUUACUCAAACACUUCUGAAGGCAAGCUCAAAUGGUAGGCUAUGGUAACUCAUCUCAAAGUUAACAGUAUCUGUGUAUGUGGUACAUUCUUUUCAAAUGCAAUUAAGCACAUUAACCUUUUAGCACCACUAAUCUGACAUUUCAUUUCCAAACUGUUAUGAUACAUAUGAUUUUUUUUUUUUUUUUUUGCCAGAUUCAUGUUAAUCUGUUUUAGAGAAAACUGAACACAUUUUAGCGACACUCACUGGACAUUUCACUUUGAAAGUACCACAAUCAACUUUUUUCCCAAUGAUGUUGUAAACAUAGGUUACAUUAAAGUUGAUUAGAUAAAAAUAUAUAUAUAUAUUCAUGACUUUUUAUCUCACAAUUUUGACUUUAUUCCCCUCAGAAUUGUGAGAUCUGAAAAUAUAAUGAGAUAUAAAAUCUGAAUUGUUUAUAUCUUGUAAUUCAGGGCAUAUAUCUUGCAUUUUUCUCAGAAUUGUAAAAAAAAAAAAAAGUUUGAGAUAAAAAAAAAAAUAAACUAAAAAAUCUAAAUUACACACAUAUAUAUUUUUUUCUUUAUGCUGUGGCAGAAACAGCCCUCCAUACAAUUCUAACUGACACUUUUGUAUCAGUACCAACAAAUAAACCCCUGAUGAAACAAAAGCUUUAUUUCUCAUGAUACCAAGUCAUUCAUUUACAUUGAACUUUGAAAUAUGUUAACACUUUUAGAUCCUUUUAUAAGAAAAAAAAAUACAUAAAAAUAAUUACAUCUUAGAACUGGGCUCAGUAAAUUAUAUGCAGUUGAUCAAUGACUUUUGAUUAACUAUAUCUGAUAAAUUACAGAAAACAGUCAAGGUCCAGUCACAUUUAGAAUUUUUCGAGGAAUUUCAUUUGUGAAAUUAAAUAUUUUCAAUAGAAAUCCACAAUAAAAAAUUUUCCCAUGCAGAUUUUGCAACAUAUUCUAGAGGGCUACACGGGUUCGUUUCACUGGCUAACAGAAAGUUUCUUGGUUUGAAAGUGACUUCAUACCUCUCUAUUAUUGACAAUAGACAGCAAAAUUGUGCACCUUUAUAAUGUCUAAUUUAAUAAAUGUAUUAAUUGUUAACUUUACGCUUCACAUCACACUUUACUAUCAAACUGCAGGAAUAGCUUUAAAUCAACGUGUGGUGUGAACCCUAAAGUCCUCAGACAUUACAUGUGCCUGUUUGUAGAUGAAGAUCUCAAUAUGAAAAGAUAAUUAGGAAAAUCUCAGUACAUAAUAGGUUGUUUCAGCAGCUUACAUUUAUUGUGUUGAGCCCGUCUCAUCUCGGAAAGGUUUUCACUUUGUCUUACAUGGUUCAUGGUGAUGUGCUGAAGGUCACCUUAGAGAAAGCACUUCAGACCCUCAAACAAAAGACUAGUCUCAUCCCUUGCAUUGGCCCCAAGAUGGACGUUAGUUAUCAGUUAACCUCAUCUCCAUCUCUGGAAAUACCACAGAGAGGGUUUUAUUCCCACCAUGGCUCAGCUGUCAAACCAACUGACAACACAGUAUGUGUUGCAUUCCCAUAAUGCAAAGCAUAACUUAGAACGACAUCUUAUUUCCUCAACUCCGUGUGUUCGACGUGAGGUUUAUAAUCUGAACACUGUUUAGUACUUUGGUUUGGUUUUGAGCACUUUUCAGUCAUAAGUUGAUUCGUCUAGUAGUUAGUGUUUUCUAGGUGUUUUCUUUAACUGCUGGAUUCAACUGAGCUGCUUCCAGAGCGGACUGUUUUCAACGUAGUGCAAAGACGACAAAGGGGGAAACAGGAAACCAGCAUGUUCCUAUUUCCUGUAAGCAGGUGAAGCUGCACUGGUAUUCUUUCUUUUAUUCUCCAAACCACAGUUCUUGGGGUGCAAAACUAGAGCAUUUCAGACAGAAACGCGUGUCUUUUGUUUUCUUUUAAGAUAACAGGCAAAGUUUUAUUUUCAUUGCUAUUGCUGCAUAACCACAGUGUAGCUCUAAGUUCCACAAGCAGUUUGUACGUGCUAUUUGGAUGAACCGGUAGUCAUAAAAGCAUGCAAAAGAGGAUCUGUGAAAAACUGAUUCACUCAUUUAUCCGCAUGGACACACAUAUAGUCAAAUAGGUAAGCCCACACACAUCCACAGCGAAUGUUUAAGACAAUAGCAUAUAACCUUCACAUUUUCAGAAGCACUCAUCUAAAUCAAGGGAAAUUAAGCUAAUAAAGCAUCUCAUUAUUCAGAGCUCAGAGAAUCAGUCACUGACAUUGCAUCAUUAUAGAUCUAUUCACAAACACAGAUUGGAUUUCAUGAAAAAGGAGACUUUCAUUUCCCACACUUCUUCAUCAUUUAUUCUUCUCUUUAAAGAGCUCUUUUAUGGAAAGUACCGGGGCUUUGGGAUGAAGGUAAGGGUUUCCUGGUGGGACAGUAGUGAUCAUUCCUGACAGAGGAGCCUUGUGUUCGUAGUCAGGGGUGCUCCAGUGGUCAAACACUGGUCAUGUUCAAAUGAAGUGGGAAUGUUCAAAUUGAAGGAAUAUUCUGGAUUCAAUCAACAACACUUGUGGCAUAAACCUGACUACUGAUUACGAAAAAAAAAAAAACAUUUGAAUAUGUAAAUGUUAAAAUCUUCACUGUUUUAGUCACAAAGCCACAAAACUAAAUCAGUAUGUUAAGGUGAAAAGAUGACUUAAGUGAGCAAAAAAUGAUAAAAACUACUUUACAUCUCAAAUAAUACUCAAAUUUGAACAGAAAAAAUAUGUAUGAAUAGAGCAUGAAUAGAGUUUUUCAUUCUUGACGAUUUUAUUUGUGCUAUUUAAAUUGCUUUUGGUUUAGUUUUAGCAGUUUUUUGUUUAUUUUGUAAUAUUGUUUUAUAGUCUGAGUGUUGUUUUACUUUGUUGUGUUUUGUAUGUCGAGUACUGAUGUCUCAUCUUUUAAAGACGUAUCUUCACUACUAGUCGCUCCACUAUUAUGAAAGAAUAAUUCACAAACAGAUAUGAAUUAUGAAAUAAGUUAUUGAUUUGUCUUCAUGCUUAGAUAAUGCUAAGAUAAAGUCUUAAUGUUCAUGCUAUUAAUAGCUUAGUCUAACUUAAAGUCAGACGAUUGGCUUAUUUCAUAUUCUAGCUUGUAGUCACAUGUUUUUAUCUGUCACACUUCUGAUAUAGACUACGUAGAUCAGAAAUUUGAAUAUGAACAUAAAAACAUCCAAGAUCCCCAACAAAUUAACACUAAUCACCAUUGUGGUGACUUCAAGACAGUUAGAGCAGCAGGACACUUUAUGAUGUGAAUUCACAGGUAGACAAGAACAGUAAAUGACUAAGACGUUAGCAGUAUUCUGCUGAUCAUUCAGACAUUUUAACUUAAAAUUCUGAUGUUGAUGGAAAAAGUCUGUAAACUCAUUAUGUCAACUCUGUCUAUUUAUGCUUUUAAAAAGUGGGAGUUUUAUUCAUUUGUGUCUGAUUUUCCAUGAAGCAAGCAAUGUCAGAGUCUGUGUCUUAUGACACUCUCAAGUGACUGAGUGUUGCCAAAGCUGCGGAGGAAUGAAAACGGUUUGGAGACAUUUGAGUUAUCACCAAAUAAGGAGGAGGAGAAAGUUAGAGGAAGUUGUAAAGGUGCUGACUUUCUGCUGGAAGGAAAAGAGAUGGGAGGCCUGUUUUAUCGGCAAAGGAAACAGAUUUCAGAGCACCGGUGACUCCAGGAAAAUGGAUCUGGGUUGAGUAAAAACCACGAUUACCACCGGCAACAAGAGCAGCUCAGCUUUGGAUAGGGCCAUCUGGAGAGGUCUGCUCCAAAAAGACAGUAAACCAGCUCUUCUGGGGCCCAACUAGGAAACACGUUUUCUAAAAAACCACCCGGUCCCUGUGUGAGGAGUUUGGUUUUCCUCCAGUGCUUCUCUCAAACACCUCCUCCUUCUUCUUCCUCUUUACUCGAGCUGCAGAUGCCUCAUUCCUACUCAUUCUGAAAGCCGAGGACGUUUUGCCGUUGCAGAAGGAGGGUGGAAGAGCGCCGCCAGGCUGGUUUUGUUCCCUGUAGUAUCUGUCCGUCUAGACUCUUCAGAAACUCACAGAAAAUACCAAUGCCUCACGAUUUUUCCUGGCUUCUUAACAAAACAAUUGAGAAGUAAAGUAUAUUUUUCCAUUUUCUAUUCUUUAUUCAUUUGGUCUGCUUUAUAAGCAAGAUCAUGUUGGGUUCUACUAAGACACUGUUCACACACCUCCAGUCAGAGCCACACUCUGCAGAGCGUUGAAGAGCUGUAAAUCUAGGGCAGACACUGACAGAAGGGGAACAUGCGGGAGCUCAGAAAAAUAAGUUUGACAUUGCACAUAGUAAGGCAGAAACAGAGAAAAAGAUCAGAAGAUAAAUGAAUGCAAGGGUUUUGGGAAACGCCUCUUCAGGGUGAUUCUGUGAUGUUCCUACUGCUACAGGGCAUAUUAACUACUGCAAUUUGUACAAAAAAAAAACCUGACACGAAUGUAUGCAAUGACACAGAGUGGGUUAAAUGUAUUACCAUUAUCCAUUA
Molecule: long non-coding RNA, 9100 nt
Organism: Carassius gibelio (silver crucian carp)
Lineage: Eukaryota; Metazoa; Chordata; Actinopteri; Cypriniformes; Cyprinidae
Exons: 2
Source: RefSeq, a predicted model, not a curated record